This 497-nucleotide ribosomal RNA is filed under the name uncultured bacterium. RNAcentral's name for it is "partial 16S ribosomal RNA". It matches the Rfam family "Bacterial small subunit ribosomal RNA", at positions 28 to 507 of the family's 1533-position model. The record is from RNAcentral.
GAUGAACGCUGGCGGCGUGCCUAAUACAUGCAAGUCGAGCGAACGGACGAGAAGCUUGCUUCUCUGAUGUUAGCGGCGGACGGGUGAGUAACACGUGGAUAACCUACCUAUAAGACUGGGAUAACUUCGGGAAACCGGAGCUAAUACCGGAUAAUAUUUUGAGCCGCAUGGUUCAAAAGUGAAAGACGGUCUUGCUGUCACUUAUAGAUGGAUCCGCGCUGCAUUAGCUAGUUGGUAAGGUAACGGCUUACCAAGGCAACGAUGCAUAGCCGACCUGAGAGGGUGAUCGGCCACACUGGAACUGAGACACGGUCCAUACUACUACGGGAGGCAGCAGUAGGGAAUCUUCCGCAAUGGGCGAAAGCCUGACGGAGCAACGCCGCGUGAGUGAUGACGGUCUUCGGAUCGUAAAACUCUGUUAUUAGGGAAGAACAUAUGUGGAAGUAACUGUGCACAUCUUGACGGUACCUAAUCAGAAAGCCACGGCUAACUACGUG